This 428-nucleotide ribosomal RNA is filed under the name uncultured bacterium. RNAcentral describes it as "bacterial SSU rRNA". It matches the Rfam family "Bacterial small subunit ribosomal RNA", at positions 355 to 775 of the family's 1533-position model. The record is from RNAcentral.
UGGGGAAUAUUGGUCAAUGGGCGAAAGCCUGAACCAGCAAUGCCGUGUGGGUGAUGAAGCUUUUUGGAGUGUAAAACCCUUUUAUGAGGGAAGAAGGUAAUUCGGUUAAUACCCGGAUUGUUUGACGGUACCUCAUGAAUAAGCCCCGGCUAACUCCGUGCCAGCAGCCGCGGUAAUACGGAGGGGGCGAGCGUUAUUCGGAAUUACUGGGCGUAAAGGGCGUGUAGGCGGCCUAGCAGGUCAGAUGUGAAAUCCCCGGGCUUAACUCGGGAACUGCGUUUGAAACCGUUGGGCUUGAGGCUGGAAGAGGAAAGCGGAAUUCCUGGUGUAGCGGUGAAAUGCGUAGAUAUCAGGAGGAACACCGGUGGCGAAAGCGGCUUUCUGGGCCAGUUCUGACGCUGAUGCGCGAAAGCGUGGGUAGCAAACGG